RNAcentral lists this long non-coding RNA (628 nucleotides) under Homo sapiens (human). Its description in RNAcentral is "non-protein coding lnc-IRX3-80:44". The record is from RNAcentral. Lineage: Eukaryota; Metazoa; Chordata; Mammalia; Primates; Hominidae.
CCCUUCGUCGCCGCGGCUCUCGUCCGGGACACGGCUUUCCGGAGUAGAGCCCUUGGAGGUGUUAAGUGUGAUGCUUCCAUAAUACAUUUGGAUGCUGUCAGCUAAGUUCACUUCUGAACUAAGGGGUUCCUCCAAAUGUUGGCUGAAAUUCAUCCCAAGGCUGGUCUGCAAAGUCUGCAAUUCAUAAUGGAGCUACUGUACUGGCUAUUGGAAGGAGGAGAUUCUGAAGAUAAGGAGGUAAAACCUGUUUAGAAAUUAAAAAUGAGUUACGAUUUAAAGAAAAUUCAGAUGACUCAUUGUGAGUGCUAGUUCUCUUGUAGGAUGCCACUGGAAAUGUUGAAAUGAAAAAUAUUCAGCCGUUGGUCUUUGAAAUUUCCUGUGAUGUGUUUCAAUCUAGAUGCAAAGAACAUGGAAAAAUCAAAGUGCUCGAGUGGUUUAAAUAUGUUUUGGGUAUUCCUGUUUAUAGACUAUAAUACUUUUCCAAUUAAAAUCCUCAGUUGUCACGCAGAAGAAGGUUAAGCUGUAUUUGAUUGCCAGUUUUACUGAAAAUGCUUAGUAUUUUACAGUAUCACCAAAUAUAUUUUGUUUAGCCAAGGUAUAGGAAAAAUAAAAUAAAUUGUAUAGGUUG